Molecule: ribosomal RNA, 468 nt
Filed under: uncultured bacterium
Lineage: Bacteria
Description: partial 16S ribosomal RNA
Rfam family: Bacterial small subunit ribosomal RNA
Source: RNAcentral
GACGAACGCUGGCGGCGUGCUUAACACAUGCAAGUCGAACGGAAAGGCCCUGCUUUUGUGGGGUGCUCGAGUGGCGAACGGGUGAGUAACACGUGAGUAACCUGCCCUUGACUUUGGGAUAACUUCAGGAAACUGGGGCUAAUACCGGAUAGGAGCUCCUGCUGCAUGGUGGGGGUUGGAAAGUUUCGGCGGUUGGGGAUGGACUCGCGGCUUAUCAGCUUGUUGGUGGGGUAGUGGCUUACCAAGGCUUUGACGGGUAGCCGGCCUGAGAGGGUGACCGGCCACAUUGGGACUGAGAUACGGCCCAGACUCCUACGGGAGGCAGCAGUGGGAAAUAUGGCACAAUGGGCGGAAGCCUGAUGCAGCAACGCCGCGUGCGGGAUGACGGCCUUCGGGUUGUAAACCGCUUUCGCCUGUGACGAAGCGUGAGUGACGGUAAUGGGUAAAGAAGCACCGGCUAACUACGUG